This 442-nucleotide ribosomal RNA is filed under the name uncultured bacterium. RNAcentral's name for it is "bacterial SSU rRNA". It matches the Rfam family "Bacterial small subunit ribosomal RNA", at positions 958 to 1399 of the family's 1533-position model. The record is from RNAcentral.
AACGCGAAGAACCUUACCUGGGCUCGAAAUGUAGAGGACGAUAUCAGAGAUGAUAUUUCCCGAAAGGGUCUCUAUAUAGGUGCUGCAUGGCUGUCGUCAGCUCGUGCCGUGAGGUGUUUGGUUAAGUCCAGCAACGAGCGCAACCCUUAUCGUUAGUUGCCAACAUGUAAUGGUGGGAACUCUAACGAGACUGCCUGGGUUAACCAGGAGGAAGGUGAGGAUGACGUCAAGUCCGCAUGGCCUUUAUGUCCAGGGCUACACACGUGCUACAAUGGUUGGUACAGAAGGCUGCGAAACCGUAAGGUGAAGCAAAUCCUAUAAAACCAAUCUCAGUUCAGAUUGUAGUCUGCAACUCGACUACAUGAAGUUGGAAUUGCUAGUAAUGGCGAGUCAGCAACAUCGCCGUGAAUACGUUCCCGGGCCUUGUACACACCGCUCGCGA